CCUGCCAAAUGUUAAGUCAAUAAAACACCCGCCUGCCCUGCUCGAGGCCGAUGGAAACGGGUCGUGACACGCGGUGGGGCCAGGUGUCUCGCAGCGUCUUUCUUCCGUUUGCUUUUGAUUGUGGGUUGCAGUAUGUUCCCGGUGCGCCAGACCAGACGACGUGCCCACUGAUCACAAUGUUGGUCCACUUGGCCUUGUCCUCGCACCUUAUCUCUCGCAGUCUGAUAACAAGGAAAAUUAAAAAAAAAGAACAUCUACAUCACAAAACCUGAACCGUUUGUUAAAAUGAUGAUUGAACUAAUAAUUUUAAAUGGAUUAAAAGACGAAAGUCAGGUUAAUUUAUUGGAACGAAUGCUUGUAAUUAAUGUGCAAAUAUAGUCAUUCCCGCCCACUGCAA
Molecule: long non-coding RNA, 397 nt
Organism: Drosophila pseudoobscura
Lineage: Eukaryota; Metazoa; Arthropoda; Insecta; Diptera; Drosophilidae
Exons: 2
Source: RefSeq, a predicted model, not a curated record